GCUGGGGUGGCGAAACCGGAAGACGCGACGGCCUUAGGAGCCGUUGAGAGCAAUCUCGUGGGAGUUCGAAUCUCCCCCCCAGCA
This 84-nucleotide transfer RNA is filed under the name Candidatus Parcubacteria bacterium. RNAcentral's name for it is "tRNA-Leu". It matches the Rfam family "tRNA". From Rfam's summary of the family: Transfer RNA (tRNA) molecules are approximately 80 nucleotides in length. Their secondary structure includes four short double-helical elements and three loops (D, anti-codon, and T loops). Further hydrogen bonds mediate the characteristic L-shaped molecular structure. tRNAs have two regions of fundamental functional importance: the anti-codon, which is responsible for specific mRNA codon recognition, and the 3' end, to which the tRNAs corresponding amino acid is attached (by aminoacyl-tRNA synthetases). tRNAs cope with the degeneracy of the genetic code in two manners: having more than one tRNA (with a specific anti-codon) for a particular amino acid; and 'wobble' base-pairing, i.e. permitting non-standard base-pairing at the 3rd anti-codon position. The record is from RNAcentral. Lineage: Bacteria; Candidatus Parcubacteria.